Molecule: ribosomal RNA, 519 nt
Filed under: uncultured eukaryote
Lineage: Eukaryota
Description: SSU rRNA
Rfam family: Eukaryotic small subunit ribosomal RNA
Source: RNAcentral
AGGGCACCACCAGGAGUGGAGCCUGCGGCUUAAUUUGACUCAACACGGGAAAACUCACCCGGCCCGGACACUGGAAGGAUUGACAGAUUGAGAGCUCUUUCUUGAUUCAGUGGGUGGUGGUGCAUGGCCGUUCUUAGUUGGUGGAGUGAUUUGUCUGGUUAAUUCCGAUAACGAACGAGACUCUAGCCUAUUAAAUAGAUCGUUGGCUUACAAACGCCGGCGAGACUUCCUAGAGGGACAGGCGGCGAUUCAGCCGCACGAAACAGAGCAAUAACAGGUCUGUGAUGCCCUUAGAUGUCCGGGGCCGCACGCGCGCUACACUGAAGUGAUCAGCGUGCAUUUUGAAACCUACUCUGUCAAGAGUGGGGAACCCAAUGAACCUUCUUCGUGAUUGGGAUAGGGGAUUGUAAUUAUUCCCCUUGAACGAGGAAUUCCCAGUAAGCGCGAAUCAUAAGUUUGCGCUGAUUACGUCCCUGCGCUUUGUACACACCGCCCCGUCGCUACUACAGAUUGAAUGUG